RNAcentral lists this small RNA (32 nucleotides) under Staphylococcus aureus. RNAcentral's name for it is "3'UTR". Lineage: Bacteria; Bacillati; Bacillota; Bacilli; Caryophanales; Staphylococcaceae. The record is from RNAcentral.
UACGAAUCAUUGUUGGAUCAUCGUGUCCAAGU